This is a long non-coding RNA of Oncorhynchus tshawytscha (Chinook salmon), 395 nucleotides long. Lineage: Eukaryota; Metazoa; Chordata; Actinopteri; Salmoniformes; Salmonidae. The record is from Ensembl.
CAUCAGGCAGGUCCAGUUGGUCCUCACGGACGUUUUAAAGACUGAACAGGGGCUGGCCUACCUGGACAAGAAAAGGCGUGGCCUGAUGACUGACAAUGGAGAGACAAAGAGAGAGUCGUGGGUGGGGAGUAGGCAGAGGGUGUCUCCGAGCAGCAGAGAGGGGGGGGAUGAUCGGAGAGAUGACCCCCAAUACAGAAAGAGACCCCAUGACCACGACACACCCACCUCGACCCGCAAGGAGACGAGGUCACACCAUAGAGGGGGGUCAGAGGAAGAAGAGGAGAUGAAAGAAGUCAUAAUAGGAGAGGAGAACGAAAUGGUCAUAUACAGCAAAUGUCCCUACAAAGGAAAACGUUCUGACAACACCUCCAAAGACAUUUGAUCAGUUUGCCUUG